GACGAACGCUGGCGGCGUGCUUAACACAUGCAAGUCGAACGGAAAGGCCCUGCUUGUGUGGGGUGCUCGAGUGGCGAACGGGUGAGUAACACGUGAGUAACCUGCCCUUGACUUUGGGAUAACUUCAGGAAACGGGGGCUAAUACCGGAUAGGAGCUCAUGCUGCAUGGUGGGGGUUGGAAAGUUGAGGCGGGUGGGGAUGGACUCGCGGCUUAUGAGCUUGUUGGUGGGGUAGGGGCUUACCAAGGCAUUGACGGGUAGCCGGCCUGGGAGGGUGACCGGCCACAUUGGGACUGCGAUACGGCCCAGACUCCUACGGGAGGCAGCAGUGGGGAAUAUUGCACAAUGGGCGGAAGCCUGAUGCAGCAACGCCGCGUGCGGGAUGACGGCCUUCGGGUUGUAAACCGCUUUAGCCUGUGACGAAGCGUGAGUGACGGUAAUGGGUAAAGAAGCACCGGCUAACUACGUG
This 468-nucleotide ribosomal RNA is filed under the name uncultured bacterium. RNAcentral describes it as "partial 16S ribosomal RNA". It matches the Rfam family "Bacterial small subunit ribosomal RNA", at positions 28 to 507 of the family's 1533-position model. The record is from RNAcentral.